This 400-nucleotide ribosomal RNA is filed under the name Streptomycetaceae bacterium ACTS27. RNAcentral describes it as "bacterial SSU rRNA". It matches the Rfam family "Bacterial small subunit ribosomal RNA", at positions 42 to 444 of the family's 1533-position model. The record is from RNAcentral. Lineage: Bacteria; Bacillati; Actinomycetota; Actinomycetes; Kitasatosporales; Streptomycetaceae.
GCGUGCUUAACACAUGCAAGUCGAACGAUGAACCUCCUUCGGGAGGGGAUUAGUGGCGAACGGGUGAGUAACACGUGGGCAACCUGCCCCGCACACUGGGAUAAGCCCUGGAAACGGGGUCUAAUACCGGAUAUGACUCAAGGUCGCAUGGUCUUGGGUGGAAAGCUCCGGCGGUGCGGGAUGGGCCCGCGGCCUAUCAGCUUGUUGGUGAGGUAACGGCUCACCAAGGCGACGACGGGUAGCCGGCCUGAGAGGGCGACCGGCCACACUGGGACUGAGACACGGCCCAGACUCCUACGGGAGGCAGCAGUGGGGAAUAUUGCACAAUGGGCGCAAGCCUGAUGCAGCGACGCCGCGUGAGGGAUGAAGGCCUUCGGGUUGUAAACCUCUUUCAGCAGGG